AUGAAAGGAAAAUCAUGCCGAGGCAAUCGUAUUUGUUUUGGUAGAUAUGCUCUUCAAGCACUUGAACCCGCUUGGAUCACGGCGAGACAGAUAGAAGCAGGAUGAAGAGCAAUAACACGAUAUGCUCGUCGUGGUGGAAAAAUAUGGGUACGUAUAUUUCCCGACAAACCGGUUACACUAAGACCCACAGAAACACGUAUGGGCUCGGGAAAGGGGUCCCCCGAAUAUUGGGUAUCCGUUGUUAAACCUGGUCGUAUACUUUGUGAAAUGGGUGGAGUAUCUGAAACUGUAGCUAGAGCAGCUAUCUCCAUAGCUGCCAGUAAAAUGCCCAUACGAAGUCAAUUUAUUCGAUUAGAGAUAUAG
Molecule: ribosomal RNA, 363 nt
Filed under: Triticum aestivum (bread wheat)
Lineage: Eukaryota; Viridiplantae; Streptophyta; Magnoliopsida; Poales; Poaceae
Description: partial small subunit ribosomal RNA
Source: RNAcentral